AUGCAGACGGGAAGCCUGGAGGGCGGUGGAGGAAAAAAGAAAAUUUCCUGGGAGGCAGAGAAAAACAAAAUGAUGGACAUGAUCAAGAAUCAACAAGAACUGAUAGACAGAUGCAUGGAAAAAAUUGAGCUAUGGGAUGAAAAAGAACUGACUGGAGAAGAUCUUGGAGAGAAAAAUGAUUAUGAAAAAAAUACCUCACGGGAUCCACUAAUUGAAGACAACUACACUGAAACUGUGGAUUACAAUGCCAGCCAGGAUUCUGCGGAGUCUCUGGGAUCCAAAUUGGGCAUUACUGCAAAAGUAGACAAGGACAAGGAUGGACCUACUCAGAAACUUAGACAAAAAAGAUGCUAG
Molecule: ribosomal RNA, 354 nt
Filed under: Triticum aestivum (bread wheat)
Lineage: Eukaryota; Viridiplantae; Streptophyta; Magnoliopsida; Poales; Poaceae
Description: partial small subunit ribosomal RNA
Source: RNAcentral